Molecule: non-coding RNA, 72 nt
Organism: Bos taurus (domestic cattle)
Lineage: Eukaryota; Metazoa; Chordata; Mammalia; Artiodactyla; Bovidae
Source: Rfam
UCCCUGCUAUCUCAGCUGGAAAAGAAUCUGCCUGCAAUGCAGGAGACCCUGAUUUGAUUCCUGGGUUGGGAA